Molecule: long non-coding RNA, 1319 nt
Organism: Rhineura floridana
Lineage: Eukaryota; Metazoa; Chordata; Lepidosauria; Squamata; Rhineuridae
Exons: 3
Source: RefSeq, a predicted model, not a curated record
UCCAUGGUAUUACCUGAUGUUGGGGUUCCAUCUUCCUAUUGCUAUCCAGGAAAUAAUCUCUGGGCAGAUGUGGAACUAUGAAUUUAUUCUACCCGUCUUCCUAUAGUCUGUUCUUCGAAAGUCGCACUUAUCGAACUUUUGUGAUGCUGUUCUCCAACCAAACCAAGAAAACGUUCUCUGCAGCAGAAAGAAUCAGCGGUGCAAGAGCAGCAUGGCGGUGGGCGUCGCCUGUCGCCUUAAUGUGAAACUCCACCGCAUCACGUCAAAAAGUCCAGUUGAUACUGUGAUGUCCCGGUUUAUAUAUAAUACUGUAAAUAUGGACUGAAGAAGCGGAUUCACUCACUCACCCACCCCUGAAACAUCGUCGGAGAAAUGAUGAUGGUACUCACUUUAAUCGCAGAAUACAAGGAGACACCAUACAUCUUCUUAUAUUCAUCUCGAAUAUCCAAAAGGUCAAUUUCGGACCUGGACACCAGAAUUCUGUUCAGUGUGAAUUCAUCAGUCCCAGCUCCCUAUCAACAAGAAAAGGGUUUUUUAUUAUUAUCUGUGCUUCAGAUUUAUAGACCGCCGCUGUAUUUGAAACACACGGUAUUUAUGAUGUUCCCUAACAACCAUGAUGGCAACUUUUUGUCCAUCCCACCCUCUGGGUGCUGCUUAUCUCUGACUGUUGGCCAUGCUGCCUGGAGCCGAUGGGAGUCCAACAACGUCUGGAGGGCCCUAUACGGGAUCCUCACGCCUGAGUGUGAGGAACCAUCAGACUGACCCACUAUCAGGCAGCUUCUGGCAUUCCUACCUUCAAAGACUUGUGCAGCCUUUCAGCAAAGAAUGCAGGAGUGCUGGUCACACAUUUGACUGUCAAAAGAAAAAGAAAAAAGGAGUUAACAGUUGACCCCAUGUACCGUACUGCUUUCUCUCUGCUAGGCAAGCUAUGAAUGAGUGCAAAGUUUUUUUAGAAAUAUUAUAGGGCAUAUAGUGGAGCACUUGUUUCCAAUGCCUUUGGCAGUACUUUUUCUUAUCAGUGCCCCCUUGUGGGUAGUUGUGUUAAUUACAUUUGCAAAACAGUUUCUGCAAGAUUCUUUGAGAUGAACUCAUCUUCUGAAUCCCACAAAAAUGUAAUUUAAUCUUCUUGCAAGUAUGAAACUGGAUUUUUGGAGCUACGAAAUGUGCUCCAAAAUUAAUCAACGCAAUGGCAUAGUAAGAACACCACCACUUGUUAUAAAAGCAGGGAAGGGCAUAGCUCAGUGCAAGAGUACCUGCCUUGCAUAGAGUUUUUGUUAAGAGUUUUUGUUAGAUGUAUAUUGUAGCAGAGUGCAGAAAUA